This 442-nucleotide ribosomal RNA is filed under the name uncultured bacterium. Its description in RNAcentral is "partial 16S ribosomal RNA". It matches the Rfam family "Bacterial small subunit ribosomal RNA", at positions 338 to 795 of the family's 1533-position model. The record is from RNAcentral.
CCUACGGGAGGCAGCAGUGGGGAAUAUUGGGCAAUGGGCGCAAGCCUGACCCAGCAACGCCGCGUGAAGGAAGAAGGCUCUCGGGUUGUAAACUUCUUUUUAUGGGGAAGAGCAGAUGACGGUACCCCUUGAAUAAGCUAUGGCGAACUACUGGCCAGCAGCCGCGGUAAUACGUAGGUGGCAAGCGUUGUCCGGAUUUACUGGGUGUAAAGGGCGUGCAGCCGGUGAGACAAGUCAGAUGUGAAAUCUACGGGCUCAACCCGUGAACUGCAUUUGAAACUGUUUCACUUGAGUGUCGGAGAGGUAGUCGGAAUGCGUUGUGUAGCGGUGAAAUGCAUAGAUAUAAGGAAGAACACCGGUGGCGAAGGCAGAUUACUAGACGAUAACUGACGGUGAGGCGCGAAAGCGUGGGGAGCAAACAGGAUUAGAUACCCUUGUAGUC